Molecule: ribosomal RNA, 497 nt
Filed under: uncultured bacterium
Lineage: Bacteria
Description: partial 16S ribosomal RNA
Rfam family: Bacterial small subunit ribosomal RNA
Source: RNAcentral
GAUGAACGCUGGCGGCGUGCCUAAUACAUGCAAGUCGAGCGAACAGAUGAGGAGCUUGCUCCUCUGACGUUAGCGGCAGACGGGUGAGUAACACGUGGAUAACCUACCUAUAAGACUAGGAUAACUUCGGGAAACCGGAGCUAAUACCGGAUAAUAUAUUGAACCGCAUGGUUCAAUAGUGAAAGACGGUUUUGCUGUCACUUAUAGAUGGAUCCGCGCCGCAUUAGCUAGUUGGUAAGGUAACGGCUUACCAAGGCAACGAUGCGUAGCCGACCUGAGAGGGUGAUCGGCCACACUGGAACUGAGACACGGUCCAGACUCCUACGGGAGGCAGCAGUAGGGAAUCUUCCGCAAUGGGCGAAAGCCUGACGGAGCAACGCCGCGUGAGUGAUGAAGGUCUUCGGAUCGUAAAACUCUGUUAUUAGGGAAGAACAAAUGUGUAAGUAACUAUGCACGUCUUGACGGUACCUAAUCAGAAAGCCACGGCUAACUACGUG